GAUGAACGCUGGCGGCGUGCCUAAUACGUGCAAGUCGAGCGAACGGACGAGAAGCUUGCUUCUCUGAUGUUAGCGGCGGACGGGUGAGUAACACGUGGAUAACCUACCUAUAAGACUGGGAUAACUUCGGGAAACCGUAGCUAAUACCGGAUAAUAUUUUGAACCGCAUGGUUCAAAAGUGAAAGACGGUCUUGCUGUCACUUAUAGAUGGAUCCGCGCUGCAUUAGCUAGUUGGUAAGGUAACGGCUUACCAAGGCAACGAUGCAUAGCCGACCUGAGAGGGUGAUCGGCCACACUGGAACUGAGGCACGGUCCAGACUCCUACGGGAGGCAGCAGUAGGGAAUCUUCCGCAAUGGGCGAAAGCCUGACGGAGCAACGCCGCGUGAGUGAUGAAGGUCUUCGGAUCGUAAAACUCUGUUAUUAGGGAAGAACAUAUGUGUAAGUAACUGUGCACAUCUUGACGGUACCUAAUCAGAAAGCCACGGCUAACUACGUG
Molecule: ribosomal RNA, 497 nt
Filed under: uncultured bacterium
Lineage: Bacteria
Description: partial 16S ribosomal RNA
Rfam family: Bacterial small subunit ribosomal RNA
Source: RNAcentral